RNAcentral lists this signal recognition particle RNA (299 nucleotides) under Saimiri boliviensis boliviensis (Bolivian squirrel monkey). RNAcentral describes it as "Metazoan signal recognition particle RNA (ENSSBOG00000008303.1)". It matches the Rfam family "Metazoan signal recognition particle RNA". From Rfam's summary of the family: The signal recognition particle (SRP) is a universally conserved ribonucleoprotein. It is involved in the co-translational targeting of proteins to membranes. The eukaryotic SRP consists of a 300-nucleotide 7S RNA and six proteins: SRPs 72, 68, 54, 19, 14, and 9. Lineage: Eukaryota; Metazoa; Chordata; Mammalia; Primates; Cebidae. The record is from RNAcentral.
GCCGGGCUCAGUAUGGCGUGCCUGUAGUCUCAGCUACUCGGGAGGCUGAGGUGGGAGGAUCGCUUGAGCCCAGGAGUUCUGGGCUGUAGUGUGCUAUGCAGAUUGGGUGUCCGUACUAAGUUCAGCAUCAAUAUGGUGACCUCCCAGGAGCAGGGGACCACCAGGUUGCCUAAGAAGAGGUGAAUUGCCCCGAGUCAGAAACGGAGCAGUUCAAAACUCCAGCGCUGAUCAGUAUUGGGAACACAACUGUGAAUAGCCACUGCACUCCAGCCUGGGCAACAUAGCGAGAUCCCAUCUCU